GACGUAGGUGGCGAACGUUAUCCGGAAUUAUUGGGCGUAAAGGGUGCGUAGGUGGCCUGGCAAGUUAUCUGUGGUAAAUCGAGGCCCAACCUCGUGGAAACUGGCAAUACUGCUUGGCUUGAGUGCAGGAGAGGUUAACGGAACUCUAUGUGGAGCGGUAAAAUGCACAGAUAUAUAGAAGAACAUCAAUAACGGCGAAGGCAGUUAACUAUUCUGUUACUGACACUGAGGCGCGAAAGCGUGGGGAGCAAAACGG
RNAcentral lists this ribosomal RNA (256 nucleotides) under uncultured bacterium. RNAcentral describes it as "partial 16S ribosomal RNA". It matches the Rfam family "Bacterial small subunit ribosomal RNA", at positions 524 to 776 of the family's 1533-position model. The record is from RNAcentral.